Molecule: non-coding RNA, 112 nt
Organism: Acanthosepion pharaonis
Lineage: Eukaryota; Metazoa; Mollusca; Cephalopoda; Sepiida; Sepiidae
Source: the annotation of a GenBank genome assembly
UUAUGGCCACAUCACCUUGAAACACCAGUUCUCAUAUGAUUAUUGAAGUUAAGCAAUAUUGAGCCAGGUCAGUACCAAGAUGGGUAACCACUUGGAAAUACCAGGUGCUGUC